AUGAUAAAAACACAAAGAUAUGAUGACCCAGUUCGGUGUACAACAACACCUACUAUGGGGCCUACCAAGCCAGGAAGAAAUUCCACUAUCAACAGUAUUAGUUCAAAGCUAAACUCCCUCGUUUAUAACUUCUCGCCAAAUCCCUAUCCAAUGACACUUUUACUCAGGUCCUCCCUAAAUAUGAGAAAUCGAUAUCUCACUUCCUAA
Vicia faba (fava bean) is the source of this 207-nucleotide non-coding RNA. NCBI's taxonomy places the organism in Eukaryota, Viridiplantae, Streptophyta, Magnoliopsida, Fabales, Fabaceae. The record is from the annotation of a GenBank genome assembly.